Molecule: long non-coding RNA, 7391 nt
Filed under: Citrus maxima (pomelo)
Lineage: Eukaryota; Viridiplantae; Streptophyta; Magnoliopsida; Sapindales; Rutaceae
Description: long non-coding RNA (CMAX_LNC000359)
Source: RNAcentral
AACAACAGCCCACCAAAAUUACCAAGUCAAUAGCCCAAGAAAGUAAUCUCGAAUUAAUAACACAAUACACAAGGAGAAAGCUCGGUCACCCAUGUUCCUAGCCCUAAAACCUUCUCUGCACCCAGAAUCUCGCCGGUAUCCACUGUCCAGAAAUUGAACACUGCCAGCCGCCACACGCCACACGCCACACGCCACUUGCAUAGCCAAGUUCUAUCGCCGGUAAAAUCUUUUUCUAUUUUAAUUAUUUUAUGUCCUUAGAAUUUUAGAAUGUCAUAUCAUGUCUUGCUUGCUUAUUGUUUAAUCUAAAUGAAGGCUACUUAAUUAAAAGUAAGUCACUGGCACGGAGAAGGAGAGGACAAGUCCCAAUGUUAAUGUGGACAGCAUUUCUUCGUUACCAGAAUCAAUAUUGCAUCACAUUCUGUCAUGUCUCUCUCUCGAACGUGUUGUUCAAACUGGUGUCCUGACUAAAACAUGGAACGAAUUCUGGCUUAUAUUCCCGAGUAUACAAUUUCAUAGGUAUCUCUCUAGUUCAAGAUUGAGGAAUCAAAAGAGAAUAUUGAAAUACUUGGAAAAGACUUUCUAAAUUGUCAUUUGGAUGCAUUAGUUUAGAAAAGUUCACGCUUUAUGUAGCACCAUUAUCAGAUGGUCCGGAGUUUGAAUCGAAUGUAAACAGGUGCCUCAGCUAUGCGGUUGGAAGUAAGGUCAAAGAUUUACAAUUUUGAGUUCGUUGUCCUUCUAGGAAAUACAAUAUGCCUCAAAUAGUUUUUUAUGCAAAAUCAAUGGCUGUGUUGAGGUUACUUUAGUAUACACUGGAACCACCUAGAAGUAAAGUGACUUUAUCUUCCUUUAGAAAAUUUUGUCCAAACCAAGUCUAUGCAAAUGAUGAAGUUAUUUGCGAUCUAGUUGCUGGUUGUCCUUUGAUUGAGCAUAUGAAUAUCUUUGCUUGUCAAGGAUUUAAAUGUCUAGAGUUACCCCAUCUCAAUAAACUCAAGGAAUUCAUAUUAUAUGAUAGUGAUGGACUUGAAUGGGUGUAUAUCAAUGGAAAGAAUGUUUAUUCAGUACAUAUCACAGCCAAACAAACACCAUGAGAGAUCAUUGUGACCCCUUGUAAGAAUCUGGAAGAAUUGAAAUUAUGUGAGGUUGUCAUAACAGAUGAAUGGCUUUGCAAGCAAAUUUCUGAACCUCCAUUUCUUGAAUACUUGUACGUAAAAUAUUGUGGGAAGUUAAGGAAUGUUAAGAUUAUAAGUCCUCGUCUUAAGAAAUUAGACUUCACAAGUACUGAGAAAUUGGUUGAAUUGAAGCUUAACACUCCGAAUUUAAGCAUGUUCAAAACUUCUGGUAGUAUGGUAUCCUUCUCUUCAAAUGCUUUGGCUCUGUCUGAAACUGUAUUCUACUACACGUUUUAUGUUGACAAGUACGUGAAAUUGAUUGAACUUCUUGCAAAAUUUGAUCACCGUUACGAAGUUUUAAACUUGAUAUGUAAUCACAAGGUCUAUUAUUCCUUCCAAACUCUGUUACCUAAAUUUUCUAUCUUAUUUAAAUAAUUUGUUGGUCAUACAUCAUUAAGUUCUGACUUUUUCUGUUUUGUUAAUUUCCUCAAGGUUGUGAUUGUACCAAGUGAAUUGCGGGAAAUUUUAUUCCCCCCUUAACUUAUGACAAGCAUGUGUGUUUUUCCAUUGACUCCGAAUAUCUAAACAUUUCACUUGUUGAACUUGUGGAUGGCUUGCUCUGGAUUACACCUCAUGCAAGGACCUUAUCAACAGUGUAUCAAUGUUAUGAUUACUGCAAGCUUUCUUUCCAGGUACGCAUUAUUUUUCAUUUGUGAGAAUUCAAUAUUAGUUCCCUAUUUUUAUGUAAUAAGAUAGUUUGGCUAUGAAGCUUUCUUUCACUAUGUUUACACAUCUUUCGUUAAAAUGGGACUUUUUCAAAUGGUAGAUAUUAACUGUCAAUGAAGUGUAAAGGAUUAGAAUUACAUAAUGCUUCUUUUAGAAAUCAACUAACUUUUUCAUUUGUGGACACCUUAUCUAAUCUUGUCAUUGCUUUAACCUGAUCUUCCUUAAGGCAAAAAUAAUUAAAAGGAAAAAGGAAAUACGACAAAAAUAACUAUUCUAAUUUUGCAUCACAUUUAGGAUCUUGCUAUAAAUGAGCAAGAACAAUAUCUUCAAUGAUCAAUUAUCAUUAGAAUUAAGAUCCAAUAAUUAUCAUGAAAUUUUUUUUGCCUAUUAACACUGUAUAUAACUAAUUUUUUCUUUGACAAUCAUGAAGUAGACAAAGUAGACAUUGAAUAACAAUUGAGAUGGGCUCAUUUUGUUUUCAUAUUUUCAUUUUUGGGAAAGAUUUUUGAGACUCAAGUCCAAGCCAAAGAAACUAUGCAUAAUUUGAGAAAAUGCUUGUAUUCAUUCAUGGAUUGUUUGUCCUUAAAUUUAUUGAUAUGUUCCUUUUACCUUUUUUUCCCUUGUUUUUUUUUAUAUAGAUUUCUUGAUAAACAUUUAUUAUAUAAUAUGCAUAAUUACUUCUAAUGUAAAUAGUAUAGUUUAGUCUUAAUAGCUUAUGAAGCAACCAAUAAUUUGUAGUGCUUAUUCUUUUCUUUCAUUUUAGGGUUCAGGACGAAACUUUAUUAGUAUUUUGUAAUUUUAAAUGAAUAAUUGAAGAAUGUUGUUGAGAUUUGUUAGUGAGCAAAAGUAAAAACACAAGAGGUAUAACGCUGCAUCGUGUAAAGGUUUAUGUUAAAAAACUAUAUGGGUCUACCUUCACCGUGGUACAUCACCUUUUUUUAUCAUUUGAAGGAUUAAUUUCACAAAAUUUAAAAAUGCUCAAGCUUUAUAGAGGUAGAUAGAUAAGAUAGGUAGAUUUAUGUCUUUGACGUGGUAUGCAUUCAUUAGUUAUGGAAAAUCAUAUAAUCGGAUUGGCAUUUCGAUUUUAGAUAUGCACUUUAUCAACUUCUUAUGUAUUAAAUAUUUUAAUUGUUAGGAAUAUGCCUUCUUUUUUAAUAAGGAUUUGUAAAGGUUAGGUUCACUUGUUUGUAUAGCACAACAAUUAAUUCUCUGCAAGUCAAUAAUUUUUACAAUGAGAGAAAUGGUAGGUCCAUUGAAAGAUUGGGUGUUAUUGAGAUUUUGACUUUUUGAGUGUAAGAAAAACCAUAAGAGUGAUUGUAAUAAAUUUUUACAUAGUAAAUUUUCCCUUGUCGUUCUAGGCAGUUGUGAUUUUUCUCUAGUAUAAAAGUUUUCCACAUAAAUUCUUGUGUUGUAUAUUUGUAAUAAUUCGUGUCAAACAAAAGGACUGUUGUACUCUGAUACUACUUGUUGGGCGUGGCAUGCGGAAUCAAGCGUAUCAAGUAAUCAAAGGAAAACAAAGGACAAGAAUUUAACAUGGUUCGGUAAUCUGCCUAUGUCCACGAGAGUAAGGAAAAAUAAUUGUAUUACUAACAAUUGUAGAGUAUAAUAUUUUAGUAAAGAAACUUCACUUCCCAGAACUUAAAUACACCUAGUACUCUUAAACACACUUGAAAGGAAAAACUUCUCACUUACACACACUUUUCAAUUGCUCACUCUCUUAUCUCUUAACAAUUCUUCACUGGAAUUGUUACUUUUAAUUUGGGAUGUCUAACUGAAGAAAAUGACUUAGUAUUUAUAGGAGAGUUUCACUAAGCAUGCAACAAAGAAGUCUUAAAAAAAUAGUAUAAUUUUCUUGAUUCGGUGCCAACCUUUCUUGUUUUUUUCAUUCGGUGCGACUUUUCUAAAUUUCAAAUUUUGCGGCUACUUUUAUUGACUUUUCAACAAUUAUCCAUCUCAGCGAAGAUUUGUCACAAUUUGAGUUGAUUAUUAAUGACCCAUCAUCCCCAAAAAUAUCUUUCAUUAAGGAUCCAAAAUGGUUGUGCUGCUCUGACUGCUUGCGUACCCAAAAUCUGAGAUCAAGCCAACUAUAGUUCAAAAUUUUUCAAAUUCAACACAUUCAAAGUAUUUGAAUUAGUUUCGAGCAAUAUUGACUUUUCAACAAUUAUCCAUCUCAGCGAAGAUUUGUCACAAUUUGAGUCGAUUAUUAAUGACCCAUCAUCCCCAAAAAUAUCUUUCAUUAAGGAUCCAAAAUGGUUGUGCUGCUCUGACUGCUUGCGUACCCAAAAUCUGGGAUCAAGCCAACUAUAGUUCAAAAUUUUUCAAAUUCAACACAUUCAAAGUAUUUGAAUUAGUUUCGAGCAAUAUUGAAAUUUAAUUCCAGAAAUCACUUUUAUCAACAUAUCUGAUGGGUUAUCUCUAGUAUCAAUCAUUUUCAAUAACACAACAUUGUUCUCGAUAACCUCUCUCAUAUAAUGAUAUUUCACAUCUAUGCGUUUUAUUCGAACAUAAUAUGUUUGAUUCUUUGCAAGAAAUAUCAUGUUUUGGUUAUCACAGAAGACCUCAAUGGAGGAUUACUUUGGAUCUUUAAUGAAAGAUUACUUUAGGGAUGAUGGUUCGUUGGUAGUUGACUCAUAUUUGGUCAAAUUUUCAUCGAGGUGGAGAAUUAUUGAAAAGUCAAUAAAAAUGGUCACAAAAUUUGAAAUUGCAAGGUACAAAAUUUGAAAUUUGAAAAAGUUGUGCCGAAUGAAGAAAAAUGAAAAGUUGGCACCGAAUGAAGAAAAUAGUGCCAAAUUUUAAAGAUUUUUCUUCUGCAUACUUGGUGAAGCUCUCCUAUAAAUAUCAAGACAUUUCCUUUAGUAAGGCAUUCCAAAAUGUAGAGUGUGAGAGUUUAGGUGAAAAGCUCUUUGAGAGAGUGCAGAGAGAGUUUUCUAUGAAAGAGUCCAGAGAAAGAGAACAUCUACAAGUGAGCUCUUAAAAAGUUUGGGAGAGCAUUUCCUUGGAUGCUUUGUUAGGUUCUGCAUUAUUUGCAGAGAUGUGAGAGAAUGUGUGUCUUGGUGAGAUUGUUUCUCUUAAGAGAGUGAAAAUACUAAAAUAUUUGAGUAUUUGGGAAGUGAGAUAGUCAAAUUCGUACUUUAUUAAGUAAAACAAUUAUUAUCUUUUGCCUCUAUGGAUGUGGGCUUUAUUACUAAAUCAAAUAAAAUUCUUGUGUCAUUAUUUUUCUGUAAAUAUUUGGUGCGCAUUGAUUCCGCAUUUGCUUUAAGUAAAACAAUUAACAUCAGAGCACAACAAGGACGGGGGUUUGGCGGUGGUUUCGUCUGGAGAAUUUUCUAGUUGUGUCCCAUAUUGUCUAGUAAAGGGGAAUUACUUUGGUUUAUGAGUAGGAUGGGUCACUCCAUCCAUUAGGCUAGUCGUUUGGGUUAGAUACCUAAAAAUCCUAGGCAAAUCCCCCCUUAACAUUAGUAGAAGUAAAAUUUAAAAACUUCUGUUGGCAAGAGGAAAUUUGUUAAUCCAGAUGGUGGAUUUCUUCAUUUUUAUUUUCUAAAUUUUUUUAAGAAAUGUUGCUUAACAGUUACCACUUUUAUUUUUGUUUCACUUUUUCUAUAAGAAGCUGCUUAUAUAUGAAGGCAAGAGUACUCAUUGUUGCCGAUCUGUUGUUUCGCAUUGCAUAAAGAACGUUAAGAUUGAGCUCUCUAAUGACAAUAGAAAAGAAUUUGUUACUGAAGGAAGUUAUUUUUUGGAGGAUGGUGAGAUAAUCGAGAAGAUUGAUGAUUUCUGGAGUUCUUUUGAAGGAUCUGCCGAUAGCUGUGAGUCCGAUGAUAGCCAUGAGUAGCAAAUUUUGAUCAGAGUUUAUGUUUGUUACUUUUGGUGUCUUGUGGGAUUUGGGCAUCCUUUUGGAUUCUCUGUUAAUGUUCUUAGCCCAAUGUUCAUUCCCUACUGCCAAACUCCCAAAACUUCAAGAUAUUUUCCUGUGAAAUUCCAUAAGUAUUUCAUAGUUAAAGUUCUAUAAGUUAUGUAGCUGCUUUGCUUGUGAAAAUUGGAGCUGCUUUGCCCCCCCUUUUUUUUUUUUUUUAAAUGUGUGUGUAUAAUUUACAUUGUUACAUAUAUAACAACAAUUCAGUGGUCCUCAAGGGCUCGACCCCGGGUAAACUUCGAGCAAUUUUCUUUUUUCUAAAUCGCCAUUCGAAUUACAAAUUUUAGCGGGAUAGAUGGGUCAAAAUUAAUUUGGAUUUUAUUCACGGGUAAAAGUUUAUUUAGUCCCUAUAUUUUAAGAUUAGUGUUUAUUUAAUCGUUGUAUUUUUUAAAAUGCCUUGAAACAAUUCUGUCGUUAAAAUAUUGAUACACCUACCGUUACUUUUUAUUUCUUUUGAUUUACUUUUACAAUACUACCAUUUUAUAAUAGUUUUUUUGUUUGGACAUUAAUAAAAAGAAAAUAAUUAAAUUACUAAAUUAACUCUAAAAAAUAAAAGAAAUUAUAUUAAUUUUUUUGCAAGCAUCAUUUGCACACUUGUUAGUUUGCAUAUAAUUUUUGACAAUUAAAAAUUAAUAUAAAAUUUUUAUCUUUAUUUUUUAGGGUUAAAUUGGUAAUUUAAUUAUUUUUUUUUUAUGAAUGUCCAAACAAAAAAAAAUUAUUAUAAAAGGGUAAUAUUGUAAAAGUAAGUCAAAAGAAAAAAAAAAGUAACGGUAGGGAUAUCAAUAUUUUAACGGCAGAGAUGUUUCUAGGUAUUUUUAAAAAUACAUGGACUAAAUUGACACUAAUCUUAAAAUAUAUGGACUAAAUGAACUUUUACCUUUUUAUUCACUUCUAUCUGAAAAAAAAAAAAAAUCAUAGAAUCAAUUCAUUGAAAUAAAUCAUUAUACUUAUACUUUUCUUAUUAUGUAUAAAAUUUUCAAUUACAAUAUAAUAAUAUUUUAUAAUCAUGAAACUAUUCGGAAUGAUAUCAUUUUUAUUAUGGGGCAGCCCAUAGUAAAGAGGAAUUUACUCCUGAAAAUACUACUCUGAGAUUAAAUAAAAAAUAAUUUAGAAACUCGAACUCAAUCCGUUCUUGGGAAUAACUAACAUUAGACUUAGUAAAUAGGAGUUUGAUUUUAUAGAAAUUUUUCUCUUUUCUCCUUUUCUCAGAGGACUAUCAAGUUGGCUGGGAGGUUCGAAAUUUUAGAAGGAACAAUCAGUCCCGUGGGUACCAGUUCAGCAUGCAGUUGAAGAGUUAACUUAUGUAGAAAGCAGCUCGGUUAUCAACGAUAAUUUUUCAUUUGUCUCUAGGAUCCGGCUGAGUGAUUGUAAAGUAAUUUUAUUUAAUUGGCCAAUAAAGUUCGGAUUUGUAGCUGGUGGAGGAUUAUAAAAAUCAGUCAAAUGUCAAUUAGGGGGAAAAAGAAACAAAGGCAAAUAAUGGUGUAUGUGCCUUGUGAAUGUGACAAUCAAAUAUUUUGUGAUCAUUGAAAGAUUUUAUGUACCAUAUACUAAACGAGAAGGGUUCGCGCUGUGCAGGACGCACUGUUUUGUUGCUGAAGAAAGGAUUUGAGGCAAGUUUAACAAUAUAAACCUAGAUGAAAACUAAC